RNAcentral lists this ribosomal RNA (506 nucleotides) under uncultured bacterium. RNAcentral describes it as "bacterial SSU rRNA". It matches the Rfam family "Bacterial small subunit ribosomal RNA", at positions 16 to 518 of the family's 1533-position model. The record is from RNAcentral.
AUCUUGGUUCAGGAUGAACGCUGGCGGCGUGCAUAACACAUUCAAGUCGAACGAAGCAUUUACGAUGAGGCCUUCGGGCGGAAUUGUAUAUGACUUAGUGGCGGACGGGUGAGUAACGCGUGAGCAACCUUCCUGCCUGUGAGGGAUAACACAGGGAAACUUGUGCUAAUACCGCAUGACGCAUGAUCAUCGCAUGGUGGAUAUGCCAAAGAUUUAUUGCAGGCAGAUGGGCUCGCGUCUGAUUAGAUAGUUGGUGGGGCAACGGCCUACCAAGUCGACGAUCAGUAGCCGGACUGAGAGGUUGAACGGCCACAUUGGAACUGAGAUACGGUCCAGACUCCUACGGGAGGCAGCAGUGGGGAAUAUUGGGCAAUGGGCGAAAGCCCUGACCCAGCGACGCCGCGUGAGGGAAGAAGGUCUUCGGAUUGUAAACCUCUUUCAGCAAGGAAGAAGAAAGUGACGGUACUUGCAGAAGAAGCCACGGCUAACUACGUGCCAGCCGCGGC